This 502-nucleotide ribosomal RNA is filed under the name uncultured bacterium. RNAcentral describes it as "partial 16S ribosomal RNA". It matches the Rfam family "Bacterial small subunit ribosomal RNA", at positions 30 to 523 of the family's 1533-position model. The record is from RNAcentral.
AUUGAACGCUGGCGGAAUGCUUUACACAUGCAAGUCGAACGGCAGCACGGGUGCUUGCACCUGGUGGCGAGUGGCGAACGGGUGAGUAAUACAUCGGAACGUACCCUGACGUGGGGGAUAACGUAGCGAAAGUUACGCUAAUACCGCAUACGUCCUGAGGGAGAAAGCAGGGGAUCGUAAGACUUUGCGCGUUGGGAGCGGCCGAUGGCGGAUUAGCUAGUUGGUAGGGUAAAGGCCUACCAAGGCGACGAUCCGUAGCGGGUCUGAGAGGACGACCCGCCACACUGGAACUGAGACACGGUCCAGACUCCUACGGGAGGCAGCAGUGGGGAAUUUUGGACAAUGGGCGAAAGCCUGAUCCAGCCAUUCCGCGUGAGUGAAGAAGGCCUUCGGGUUGUAAAGCUCUUUCGGCAGGGAAGAAACGGUUUUGGAUAAUACCCAGAACUAAUGACGGUACCUGAAGAAGAAGCACCGGCUAACUACGUGCCAGCAGCCGCCGCCG